AGAAGAAUCCUUUGUUUGAUGAAAUUGGUUUUCAAUAAAUGCUCAUCAUAAGCUAGUGUCUGGGUAGUGAAAUAAAUGCUGGAAUUCCUAAAGAGAGUGCAUUUUUGACUUCUUGUGCUAACACCAGAACACCAAGAAUGGGUCCACUGAGCAGCUGUGACAGUGUAGAAGCCUUGAUAGCGUUGCUGCAGCAAUGACCUUCCACAGCACUUAACAACACUGAUGACUCCGACUGCUGAUAAGACAAACUAUUCAGAAGCCUUCUUCAGGUGAAACACCCAGUGAUUUUUUGCAACGUUCAUUCCUACCACCUUUGCAGAUGGUGCAGCAGCUUUAACAGCAUCCUAGGACACUACGGCUCCUGAGCCCAGC
Long non-coding RNA from Mauremys mutica (yellowpond turtle), 372 nucleotides. RefSeq lists it as uncharacterized. The record is from RefSeq and is a predicted model, not a curated record. The transcript has 3 exons. Lineage: Eukaryota; Metazoa; Chordata; Testudines; Geoemydidae.